Molecule: ribosomal RNA, 254 nt
Filed under: uncultured prokaryote
Description: partial 16S ribosomal RNA
Rfam family: Bacterial small subunit ribosomal RNA
Source: RNAcentral
ACGUAGGGGGCAAGCGUUGUCCGGAUUCAUUGGGCGUAAAGAGCUCGUAGGCGGUUCGAUAAGUCGGGUGUGAAACCUCCAGGCUCAACCUGGAGACGCCACCCGAUACUGUCGUGACUAGAGUCCAGUAGGGGAGCGUGGAAUUCCUGGUGUAGCGGUGAAAUGCGCAGAUAUCAGGAGGAACACCAGCGGCGAAGGCGGCGCUCUGGGCUGGAACUGACGCUGAGGAGCGAAAGCGUGGGGAGCGAACAGGA